GCAGUCGCGGGAACAGUGCCGAAAGGCCGUUUCUGAGGAAAGUCCGAGCUCCCAUGGGCAGAAUAACGGAUAACGUCCGCCGAAGGCAACUUCCGGGAAAGUGCAACAGAAAAAAACAGCAGAUUCGUCUGCAACGGUGAAAAGGUGGGGUAAGAGCCCACCGGGGCGACGGUAACGCCGCCCGUCAGUGUAAACCCUAUUCGGAGCAAUACCGCAUACGGGACAGGGGGAUACCCCCGGUGCGCCCAUCACGUCCCAAAGGUAGCUGGAGAUUUACGGUAACGUAAAUUCGAGAUAGAUGACUGCAUGCCGCUUUGCGGCUUACAGAACUCGGCUUAUAUUCCUGC
This 347-nucleotide RNase P RNA is filed under the name human gut metagenome. Its description in RNAcentral is "Bacterial RNase P class A". It matches the Rfam family "Bacterial RNase P class A". From Rfam's summary of the family: Ribonuclease P (RNase P) is a ubiquitous endoribonuclease, found in archaea, bacteria and eukarya as well as chloroplasts and mitochondria. Its best characterised activity is the generation of mature 5'-ends of tRNAs by cleaving the 5'-leader elements of precursor-tRNAs. The record is from RNAcentral.